GAGUUUGAUCUUGGCUCAGAGCGAACGCUGGCGGCAGGCUUAACACAUGCAAGUCGAGCGCCGUAGCAAUACGGAGCGGCAGACGGGUGAGUAACACGUGGGAACGUGCCUUUUGGUUCGGAAUAACUCAGGGAAACUUGAGCUAAUACCGGAUAAGCCCUUCGGGGGAAAGAUUUAUCGCCGAAAGAUCGGCCCGCGUAAGAUUAGCUUGUUGGUGAGGUAACGGCUCACCAAGGCUACGAUCUUUAGCUGGUCUGAGAGGAUGAUCAGCCACAUUGGGACUGAGACACGGCCCAAACUCCUACGGGAGGCAGCAGUGGGGAAUAUUGGACAAUGGGCGCAAGCCUGAUCCAGCCAUGCCGCGUGAGUGAUGAAGGCCUUAGGUUGUAAAGCUCUUUUAGCAGGGACGAUAAUGACGGUACCUGCAGAAAAGCCCCGGCCAACUUCGUGACAGCAGCCGCCGCCGUAAC
RNAcentral lists this ribosomal RNA (470 nucleotides) under uncultured Alphaproteobacteria bacterium. Its description in RNAcentral is "bacterial SSU rRNA". It matches the Rfam family "Bacterial small subunit ribosomal RNA", at positions 9 to 524 of the family's 1533-position model. Lineage: Bacteria; Pseudomonadati; Pseudomonadota; Alphaproteobacteria. The record is from RNAcentral.